ACUAGGGUGGGCCCUAAAUCCGAUCUGAUUGGUAGUUUUUAGGAGGAGAGACAGGCAGGAAAGGCCACGUGAAGACAGGCGAGAGUGUAGCCGUGGCAGCCACAGCCACGCGGCGCCCACACCCACCGGGAGUGGGAAUGAGACAGGAAGGACCUACCUCCUUUAGAGCCUUCUGAGGGGGCACAGCCCUGCCCACCCCUGGAUUUCAGACUUCUGGGCUUCAGAACUGAGAGAGAAGAAAGAUCUGUGGCUUUAUGCUAUUUGCAGUCCUGUGUUAUGGUGGCCCCUGGAGACAUACAGGUGGGGGUGGUGGCAGAUACCUGCCUUGGCCUGCUGGCUGCUGCUCCAGUCUCCCUUGUGCUAGAUGUUGAGUGGCACCCUGGCUCCAUGCUGAGCCCUCCCACAGGCUGAGGGGCCCAGGAGCACCUCGUGUUUUCUGUGUUCACUGGAGGAGACAAUGUUCUAUAAAUCAACGAGAGCUGCUAGGUGCUCAUGUGGGCAGGUGGGGCCUUCACGGAUGCCAGGAGCUGGGACCCGUCUAUCCCUGAUUCUGCUGCCCUGGGGCACACCCCUGGGCCUUGGUCUCCUCAUGUGUAAAAGGGGCAGCAGGGUAGAGCAGGUGAUGUCCGCAGAAGCGCCCAUUCCUGCACCCCCUUCAGAGGUCUAGAUCCUCAACUUGACCUCCCAGGCCUAGGGCAUCGUAGCCAGAAGGAAUGAUGAUGUAGGAGGCUGUCACCAUGGCCCGCCUGCCUGGCUCCCAGGCCAGCCCCUCACUCGCUAGCUCCUGCUGCUCCUGAGGAGGUGCCCGGUCACCGCAGAGAGGCACCCCGAGUGCAGGCGGCCACACCGCGAGUGGAUGCUGUGGCUGCCCCGACUUUGAUCCCAGGGCGGGAAUGGAGAGCACUGUGACUCCAGCCCUGGCUCGGAGCACCAUAUCCAUCAAUAGAAGAGGAAGGCUCUGUGCAGCAGUAGCGUGGGGCCUGCCGGGCAAUUGAUUUAAAUCAUUUUAUAGAGAACCUAUGUAAAAUAAAAAGCCUUUAAUCACA
This 1046-nucleotide long non-coding RNA is filed under the name Pan troglodytes (chimpanzee). RNAcentral describes it as "lincRNA". Lineage: Eukaryota; Metazoa; Chordata; Mammalia; Primates; Hominidae. The record is from RNAcentral.